RNAcentral lists this long non-coding RNA (692 nucleotides) under Nicotiana tabacum (common tobacco). RNAcentral's name for it is "long non-coding RNA (NTAB_LNC016078)". The record is from RNAcentral. Lineage: Eukaryota; Viridiplantae; Streptophyta; Magnoliopsida; Solanales; Solanaceae.
UUCAACAUAUAAUAGUUUCCAAUGCAUAAGAAAUGAGGUUGAACUACUUCAUUCAACUAUGUGCUGCUAAAGUAUACCAAGGCACCAUGUUUUGCAUAUCUUUUGAGACAAAGUUUUGUUGGUAUGGCCUACAGAAUCAACAACAACAACAAGCCCAGUGAGUAAGUCUGAAAAGGUUAAUGUGUACUCAGACCUUACCCUCACAGUUGGAGAACAAAAAAGUUGUUUUUGAUCGGUAGAUCAUCGGCUAAAGACAAGAUAAAAAGUAGCAGUAACAACAAGGCUAAGUGAUAGAACAACAAAAUAUUAACAAUGUAUGGCCUACAGAAUACUCUUCAUAUUUUAAACCAAUAGUUACACUAGAAAAUAUAAGAAACGACAUCAAAAGAGGAAACUCAUUUAAGUGUUGGAAGAAAAAGAAAUGACAGGAUGAACAUAUAAAUACCCAGUACAGAUAAAAAGCAAUGAUCAAAAUUUAAAGAGCAAAAAAGCCGACACCUGAAAGGAACCAGUAAUGUUCUUAGCUUGGCUGUCUCAUUUGUCUGGAUUCUGAUGAAUGAAUCCUUAAUUCAUAUCUCACCUUCUUUUAUUUCUUCCAUUUCUUCUUUCCAAUUUCCAUUUUUGCUCUCACCAUUUCCAUGUUUAACUUUUUCACUAUUCCCUUUGUUUCCUUCAGUUAGGUUGACAGUAGC